GCCUGGGUGGCUUAGUUGGUUAAGCAUCUGACUUCGGCUCAGGUCAUGAUCUCACGGUUUGUGGGUUCUGGCCCCACAUAGGGCU
Molecule: transfer RNA, 85 nt
Filed under: Felis catus (domestic cat)
Lineage: Eukaryota; Metazoa; Chordata; Mammalia; Carnivora; Felidae
Also listed under: 2 other names
Rfam family: tRNA
About the family: Transfer RNA (tRNA) molecules are approximately 80 nucleotides in length. Their secondary structure includes four short double-helical elements and three loops (D, anti-codon, and T loops).
Source: Rfam by way of RNAcentral